ACGGAACCGCGCCCGAACGGCGCAAGCCCCCCCCGCCGCCCAGCCCGAAGAGGCGUUGGCUCCCGGGAUGGAUACCGUCCCCGGGGAAGCGACGGACGACGCCGGGGGGCAACGGGGGGAACGACGACGCGAGGGACGGAAACGGCGACGGCCGCGGCGGCGGCGCACGACGUCACGAGUGGGCGAGCGCGGGACCGACGGAGCGGAAGGGGUGGAUCGUCGCCGGUCGAGCGCUCGCGGCGGUUGCCGUCGCGAGCCACGCGUGGGAGGCGAUCGGUCCGCCGCCGCCGCCGUCGCUGCCGCACCUGCACGCGCUCGCGUUCACCGAGCUCGGGUUUGUGGGGUUCCUCGGGGUGUACGCGUACUGCUACGUCAGGCUGUGGGCGUGCGCGCGCGACGUCGGGGCGGGGAAGCUGAAGGCAAACUGACGCUCAGCCGCGCGUGAGCUUAACAAUUCUGUAAAAUAGACCAAUUUGCCUUUGCAGCAACAUCUGGUCGGCAUGCCUUGCAGCCGGACGCACGAACUGACGAACAGACGAACAGACGAAGGGUGGUGACGCGGUGUUUCCGACCCAAAAGCCGUUUUCCCCACACGACCGACUUGAACCCGCAGUUCGCCGGUCGCGCCCGACUUCCAGGCGCACGCGACCGACGUCGAACGUCGAACACGCGCUCGCACGCCAGAUCCGGGCGCAUUCUUACGUAACGCCAUCUCCGGCUCUCCGUCCGCGUACCGAUACGCCGCGAGGUCGCCAUCUUCGCGGCGCGACGUGCGGAUCCGCGAAAGGACCAGAGAUGUUGCCCUUGUCGGUCACGCCGACUUUGGCGCCCGACGAAGCCGACGACACCGCGAUUUGUGCGCGCAAAUCGCUCGCGGGAACCUCGCGGCGCGAAUAUCGACCCGAAACAUCGCCUCCCGCGGCUCGUGACCGCCGGGGUCGCCUCCGCUGCGAUGGACCGGGAACGGGGUGGGGAUCCUGCGGCGGUCGGUCGUCUUCGUCGCGAUUCCAUUCGCGCUGGACGCGCGCGUCGCUCGUCGUCCUGGCGCUCCUGGCGUUGAUCGUCGCGCCGGGGACGCGCUUCGCGGCCGCGACAGGCCCGGAGUCCGAUCUCGCGCCCGUCAGGGGCCUUCGUAGACUGGCGCAGACGACGAACGUUGGUGGUGUCGAGUACCUGCAACGCGCCAAGCUGAACGCGACCGACGGCGCUGAGGAUGACCAGUUCGGCAAAAGCGUGUCGAUCGACGGCGACACGAUGGUGAUCGGGGCUUAUUUUGACGACGACAAGGGAGACAUCAGCGGAUCCGCGUACGUGUUCACGCGCAACACACCCGGCGAUCUCGCCUCCGGCUGGACGCAGGUUGCCAAGCUGACCGCGGCCGACGGCGCUGCGAAUGACCAGUUCGGCCGGAGCGUGUCGAUUGACGGCGACACGGUGGUGAUCGGGGCUUAUAUUGACGACGACGAUGGAACCAGCAGCGGGUCGGCGUACGUGUUCACGCGCGUCACGGCCGGCGACCUCGCCUCCGGCUGGGCGCAGGUUGCCAAGCUGACCGCGGGGGACGGCGCUGCGGGUGACUGGUUCGGCUCCAGCGUGUCGAUUGACAGCGACACGGUGGUGAUCGGGGCGUAUGGGGACGACGACGAUGGAUCCGGCAGCGGGUCCGCGUACGUGUUCGCGCGCGACACGACCGGCGACCUCGCCUCCAACUGGACGCAGGUUGCAAAACUGACCCUGAACGUAUAUGCUGAGUUUGACUACUUCGGCUACAGCGUGUCGAUCGACGGCGACACGGUGGUGAUCGGGGCGUAUAGGGACGACGACAAAGGAACCAACAGCGGGUCCGCGUACGUGUUCACGCGCGACACGACCGGCGACCUCGCCUCCAACUGGACGCAGGUUGCCAAGCUGACCGCGGUGGACGACGACGCUAUUUAUGCCCACGACCACUUCGGCUACAGCGUGUCGAUCGACGGCGACACGGUGGUGAUCGGGGCGUAUCAGGACGACGACAAGGGAUCCAACAGCGGGUCCGCGUACGUGUUUACGCGCGUCACGGCAGGCGACCUCGCCUCCCGCUGGACGCAGGUUGCCAAGCUGACCGCGGGGGACGACGGCGCUGGGGAAGACAACUUCGGCCGGAGCGUUUCGAUUGACGGCGACACGGUGGUGAUCGGGGCACAGUAUGACGACGACAAGGGACCCGGCAGCGGGUCCGCGUACGUGUUCAGGCGCGACACGCCCGGUUACCUCGCCUCCGGCUGGGCGCAGGUUGCCAAGCUGACUGCGGAUGACGGCGCUGGGGGUGACAACUUCGGCUUGAGCGUGUCGAUUGACGGUGACACCAUCGCGAUCGGGGCGAUUGGGGACGACGACAAGGGAUCCGCCAGCGGGUCAGCGCACGUGUUCUCCGCAUACUUUUUUCCUUGCGACGCGUCUUCACCCCCAGCCAACGGCGCCGUCGGCGACUGCACCUCAGUGCUCGAGAGCGGGUCCACGUGCCAGCCCACGUGCGACCAGGGGUACGCCGUUUCCGGGCCCAGCGUGUGCGAUGACGGCUAUUUUUUGCCCGCGGUCUGUAACAUGUUUCCGCAGCUCGCUAAGCUGACCGCGGACGACGGCGCGGCGGAUGACCGAUUCGGCAACAGCGUGUCGAUCGACGGCGACACGAUGGUCAUCGGGGCACAGCAUGACGACGAUAAGGGAGACAGGAGCGGGUCCGCGUACGUGUUCACCCGCGACACACCCUCCAACUGGGCGAAGGUUGCCAAGCUGACCGCGGGCGACGGCGCUGCGAGUGACUACUUCGGCAACAGCGUGUCGAUCAAUGGCGACACGAUGGUCAUCGGGGCACAGUAUGACGACGACAAGGGAGAUAACAGCGGGUCGGCGUACGUGUUCACGCGCGACAAACCCGGCGACCUCGCCUCCGGCUGGACGCAGGUUGCCAAGCUGACCGCGGACGACGGCGCUGCGAGUGACAGGUUCGGCCGGAGCGUGUCGAUCGACGGCGACACGGUGGUGAUCGGGGCAUCGCAUGACCGAUUCGGGUCCGCGACCAUGGGGUCCGCGUACGUAUUCACGCGCAACACGGCCGGCAACCUCGCCUCCGGCUGGACGCAGGUUAACAAGCUGACCGCGAGCGACCGCGCUAAGGAUGACUGGUUCGGCUCCAGCGUGUCGAUCGACGGCGACACGGUGGUGAUCGGGGCGGAUGGGGACGACGACGAUGGAUCCAGCAGCGGGUCGGCGUACGUGUUCACGCGCGACACACCCGGCGACCUCGCCUCCCGCUGGACGCAGGUUGCCAAGCUGACCGCGGACGACGGCGCUAAUGGUGACUGGUUCGGCGGGAGCGUGUCGAUCGACGGUGACACGGUGGUGAUAGGGGCGCAUGGGGACGACGACAAGGGAACCGACAGCGGGUCCGCGUACGUGUUCAGGCGCAUCACGACCGGCGAACUCACCUCCGGCUGGACGCAGGUUGCCAAGCUGACCGCGGUGGACGACGGCGCUGCGAGUGACUGGUUCGGCGGGAGCGUGUCGAUUGACGGCGACACGAUGGUGAUCGGGGCGAUUGGGGACGACGACAAGGGACCCGGCAGCGGGUCCGCGUACGUGUUCAGGCGCAUCACGGCCGGUGACACCACCUCCGGCUGGACGCAGGUUGACAAGCUGACCGCGGUGAAUGACGGUGCUGCCGAUGACUGGUUCGGCGGGAGCGUGUCGAUUGACGGCGACACGAUGGUGAUCGGGGCGAUUGGGGACGACGACAAGGGAUUCCUCAGCGGGUCCGCGUACGUGUUCUCCAAAUACGUUCCUCCUUGCGACGCGUCAUCACCCCCAGCCAACGGCACCGUCGGCGACUGCACCUCAGAGCUCGCGAGCGGGUCCACGUGCCAGCCCACGUGCGACCAGGGAUACGCCGUGUCCGGGCCCAGCGUGUGCGAGAACAGCGUCCUGUCGCCCGCGAUCUGCAUCCCUUUUUGCAACGCGUCCACGCCCCCAGCCAACGGCGCCGUCGGCAACUGCACGGACCAGCUCUUGAGCGGCACCGCGUGUCAGCCCGCGUGCGACCCGGGGUAUUUCGCACCCGAACCCAGCGUUUGCGAUGACGGCAUCCUCACGCCCGCGGUCUGCGUCAGGUACUGCGACGCAUCCGCGCCGCCCGCCAACGGCGGAGUGGGCGACUGCGUGGAGUACCUGUCGAGCGGUACGACGUGCCAGCCCACGUGCGACGAGGGAUACAUCGUGUCCGGGAAGACGUCGUGCGACGCCGCGGGCACGCUGACGGCGGCGGACUGCAGGGAGCUCAGCUGCUGCGAGCAAACGUUCGCUAAGUUCGGGUUUGGAGUGGCGUACAGCUACGGCGACGAGCUGUGAGAGACGGGGGGGGGGUUUGACAAAGAUGCAUCCUGUAAGUGUUAUAUAAACUGCCGUUCUUUUCGUGGAGCGCGGGGACCCUCCGCAACCUCCCCAUCUUUGAGAACCAUGAUGCAGUCGCUGUCCAUGAUUGUCGACAGUCGGUGCGCAAUCACGUCACGAGGUUAAUCCGCCCCUUAGCCGCCUCGUUGAUGCUCAAGAUGAUCUCCUUCUCCGUGUGCGUAUCCGGCGAGGAGGUGGCCUCGUUGCGUUCACAAUUUUGGUGCGCGACGUCUCCAAUCGUCAAGUGGCGAACACUCUUGUCGAUUCCAAACGCCGCCAAGCUCUCGGCGGCGGUCACGGCCUGCGCGAUGGCCCCGGCGAUGUACGCGCAGAUCGCAGCCCCGAGCCCCGAGGGGUUCCUGUGGUGCAUGGCGUGCGUCUCGAUGUCCUUCUUCCUCUUCUCGUUUCAGGUGCACGAGAAAUCCGCGCUGCUCCCGGCGCUGCCCGUCUCGAUGCUGUGCCUGAGGGCGACGGGGCUGGCGACGCUCGCGCCCGUGCUCGUCUGCGUCAGCAUGUGGCCGCUGCUGCGAAGGGACGGCCUCGGGGUGGCGUACGUCGGGUGCGUGGUCAUGUUCGUCGCCCUGUUCGGCGACGGAACCGCGCCCGAACGGCGCAAGCCCCCCCCGCCGCCCAGCCCGAAGAGGCGUUGGCUCCCGGGAUGGAUACCGUCCCCGGGGAAGCGACGGACGACGCCGGGGGGCGACGGGGGGAACGACGACGCGAGGGACGGAAACGGCGGCGGCGGCGGCGCACGACGUCACGAGUGGGCGGGCGCGGGACCGACGGAGCGGAGGGGGUGGAUCGUCGCCGGUCGAGCGCUCGCGGCGGUUGCCGUCGCGAGCCACGCGUGGGAGGCGAUCGGUCCGCCGCCGCCGCCGUCGCUGCCGCACCUGCACGCGCUCGCGUUCACCGAGCUCGGGUUUGUGGGGUUCCUCGGGGUGUACGCGUACUGCUACGUCAGGCUGUGGGCGUGCGCGCGCGACGUCGGGGCGGGGAAGCUGAAGGCAAACUGACGCUCAGCCGCGCGUGAGCUUAACAAUUCUGUAAAAUAGAC
This 5479-nucleotide long non-coding RNA is filed under the name Micromonas commoda. RNAcentral describes it as "long non-coding RNA (MCOM_LNC000472)". Lineage: Eukaryota; Viridiplantae; Chlorophyta; Mamiellophyceae; Mamiellales; Mamiellaceae. The record is from RNAcentral.